AACUGAUACUACCUGCGGGAACCUGCGGAAGGAUCAUUACUGAGUUUCACAACUCUCUAACCCUGUGUGAACUGAAGUCUGGUUGCUCAGGCAGGCGGCCCCCGGGGGGAGCCGCAGCUUCUCUGAAGCGCCUGCCGGAGGAUACCUAAACUCGUUUUAACAUAUAAUCUUCUGAGUAAUAAAAAAAAUGAAUCAAAACUUUCAACAAUGGAUCUCU
RNAcentral lists this unclassified non-coding RNA (217 nucleotides) under soil metagenome. RNAcentral's name for it is "partial contains 5.8S ribosomal RNA, internal transcribed spacer 2, and large subunit ribosomal RNA". The record is from RNAcentral.